Long non-coding RNA from Amphimedon queenslandica, 558 nucleotides. RefSeq lists it as uncharacterized. NCBI's taxonomy places the organism in Eukaryota, Metazoa, Porifera, Demospongiae, Haplosclerida, Niphatidae. The record is from RefSeq and is a predicted model, not a curated record. The transcript is spliced from 3 exons.
GAAAAAAUAAUUUUGAUAAUAAUUCAGAAUAAUUGUAAGCAUAGCCAAUAAAUAUUGUAAGCAUAAUGGCAUAUAUCUGAUAAUCUGAAGCACUAGAGAAUAGCAUAAUGUAAUGAAAUGGUGGAAUAAUAUGCCAAAGCCUAUCCCCAGCUCAACUAGUCACACGUAAUGGGCCUGUUGGCCACACCCAACAUUAAAAAUGGCUUCCAGUAGAGGAGCACUAGUCCUGUCUUUUCGAGUUAUUGGGAGGUAUUAUUCAUCUCAGACUUAUCGAUUGAUUGGGAAACCAGAUGAAAAGUCUAACCUAAUCCUAGUGAAAUGAGACCACCUAGCAAUCAUGCUGAAUCGAAGUUACAAAUGUUAGAGCAACAAAUUUAUGAUUUUAAUCAUACUUUUUGGAAGGAACACAAUAUUGAAUUCCAACAGGCAAAAUCUGACUACAUUAAUAAAUUGUUAUCAACGACAAAUCUUACCAGAAAUGAAUUAACAUCAAAUCAUUUAAUGGAAUUUCAUAGAUCGUUUCUUAAUGGCAAGUAUCAGACUCACAAGCAAUAUUUA